Molecule: long non-coding RNA, 244 nt
Organism: Homo sapiens (human)
Lineage: Eukaryota; Metazoa; Chordata; Mammalia; Primates; Hominidae
Exons: 2
Source: RefSeq, a predicted model, not a curated record
GCUGGACUCAACACCAAGGUGAUGUCACUUUUUUGCCUUAGCUCUGCCUUCAAAAGGCACUAUUACAAAUUACUUGGACUAUUACCAAGGUGAUGUGACUCACUCUCUUGCCUGGGGCCUUCACUCAGAGGGUAUUGUGACAUAUUGCUGGACCAAGCAUUUAGGUGAUGUGACUUUCUCAACAUCUUGGACUCUGACCAAUAAGGAAUUUGUAUGUGUUGAUGUGCGCUGCAUCCAGGUGAUG